GAGUCGACUCUAGCUUCCUUUGGAGUCGACCUGCCAACCAUCGGAGUCGACUCGAGUUCCUCAGGAGUCGACUCGGCUCUCAGGGUCCAAAAUAGCUUCUCUGUGUUUCUUCCUUGUUACUCCCUGGAGUCGACUCGUACUAUCCAGGAGUCGACUCGAGGACUAUUCUUUUGGAUUUUCCUUUGAAUUUGCUCUUCCAACUUGAGUCCUUUGAACUUGAAACUUGGGCCAAUGAAGUGUAACUUUCUUCCAACUUUUCUUGAGAGCU
RNAcentral lists this long non-coding RNA (268 nucleotides) under Phoenix dactylifera (date palm). RNAcentral describes it as "long non-coding RNA (PDAC_LNC007302)". The record is from RNAcentral. Lineage: Eukaryota; Viridiplantae; Streptophyta; Magnoliopsida; Arecales; Arecaceae.